Molecule: ribosomal RNA, 331 nt
Filed under: uncultured eukaryote
Lineage: Eukaryota
Description: partial 18S ribosomal RNA
Rfam family: Eukaryotic small subunit ribosomal RNA
Source: RNAcentral
CCCUUAGAUGUUCUGGGCCGCACGCGCGCUACACUGACGAAGUCAGCGAGCAUGUCCUACGCCGACAGGUGCGGGGAAUCUUGUCAAACUUCGUCGUGAUGGGGAUUGAUUAUUGAAAUUCUUGAUCAUCAACGAGGAAUUCCUAGUAAGCGCAAGUCAGCAGCUUGCGUUGAUUACGUCCCUGCCCUUUGUACACACCGCCCGUCGCUACUACCGAUUGAAUGGUUUAGUGAGAUCUUCGGAUUGGCGCCACUGCGGCUCAGCAAUGGGCUCGGUGGAUGCCGAAAAGUUGAGCAAACUUGAUCAUUUAGAGGAAGUAAAAGUCGUAACA